GACGAACCGUGCGAACGUUAUUCGGAAUUACUGGGCGUAAAGCGCGUGUAGGCGGUUGUCCAAGUUGGAUGUGAAAGCCUUGAGCUCAACUCAAGAAAUGCAUUCAGGACUGGAUGACUAGAGGACCGGAGAGGAUAGUGGAAUUCCCAGUGUAGUGGUGAAAUACGUAGAGAUUGGGAAGAACACCAGUGGCGAAGGCGGCUAUCUGGACGGUUUCUGACGCUAAGACGCGAAAGCGUGGGGAGCAAACAGG
This 253-nucleotide ribosomal RNA is filed under the name uncultured bacterium. RNAcentral's name for it is "partial 16S ribosomal RNA". It matches the Rfam family "Bacterial small subunit ribosomal RNA", at positions 524 to 776 of the family's 1533-position model. The record is from RNAcentral.